CAGCACCUCAAGUGGUCAGGAUGAUUAUUGGGCCUAAAGCAUCCGUAGCCGGCGCUGUAAGUUUUCGGUUAAAUCUGUACGCUCAACGUACAGGUUGCCGGGAAUACUGCAGCGCUAGGGAGUGGGAGAGGUAGACGGUACUCGGUAGGAAGGGGUAAAAUCCUUUGAUCUAUUGAUGACCACCUGAGGCGAAGGCGGUCUACCAGAACACGUCCGACGGUGAGGGAUGAAAGCUGGGGGAGCAAACCGGAUUAGAUACCCGAGUAGUCC
RNAcentral lists this ribosomal RNA (270 nucleotides) under uncultured archaeon. Its description in RNAcentral is "partial 16S ribosomal RNA". It matches the Rfam family "Archaeal small subunit ribosomal RNA", at positions 477 to 747 of the family's 1478-position model. The record is from RNAcentral.